RNAcentral lists this ribosomal RNA (264 nucleotides) under Triticum aestivum (bread wheat). RNAcentral's name for it is "partial small subunit ribosomal RNA". The record is from RNAcentral. Lineage: Eukaryota; Viridiplantae; Streptophyta; Magnoliopsida; Poales; Poaceae.
AUGAGAGGCAGCAACGCGAGGCUGCUCUGCGCGCUGCUGCUGGUGCUGCUCUGCGUCGCCGCGUGUUUCCAGGGCGCGUGCUGCCGCGGCGGAGCGGGCGGCGGAGGGAGGGGUGGAGGCGGGAGGGGCGGCGGCGGAUGGAACGGCGGCCGGGUCACAACGGGGUCGCGCGGAAGCAGCGCCGCCGGCGACCCACUUGCGCACGGAGUCUGGAGGGUCUCCGGUGCCGCCGCCACCCUCGUGGCCGCGGCGAUUCUUUGGUGA